RNAcentral lists this non-coding RNA (542 nucleotides) under Pongo abelii (Sumatran orangutan). The record is from RNAcentral. Lineage: Eukaryota; Metazoa; Chordata; Mammalia; Primates; Hominidae.
GUGUCUUUUUUUUUUUGGAGACAGAGUUUCGCUCUUGUUGCCCAGGCUGGAGUUCAAUGGCAUGAUCUCGGCUCACCACAACCUCUGCCUCCCGGGUUCAAGCGAUUCUCCUACCUCAGCCUCCCAAGUAGCUGGGAUUACAGGCAUGUGCCACUACGCCUGGAUAAUUUUUUGUAUUUUUAGUAGAGAUGGGGUUUCUCCAUGUUGGCCAAGGCAAGCCUAUCACUUGAGGUCAGGAGUUCAAGACCAGCCUGGACAACGUGGUGAAACUGCAUCUCUACCAAAAAAUACAAAAAUUAGCCAGGUGUGGUGGCACACACCUGUAGUCCCAGCUACUCAGGAGGCUGAGGCGGGAGAAUCGCCUGAACCUGGGAGGUGAAGGUUGCAGUGAGCUGAGAUCACACCACUGCACUCCAGUCUGGGUGACAAAGUGAGACCCUGUCUCAAAACAAAAACAAACAAAAAAACCCAAUGAAGUCUUUAGUUCUUUCCCUGUCUUACUAUCACCACUAUUUCAGACAUUAUUUCAUGUCUGUGCAUUA